UACGGGGGGGAGCAAGCGUUGUUCGGAUUUACUGGGCGUAAAGGGCGCGUAGGCGGUCGUGACAAGUCACUUGUGAAAUCUCCGGGCUUAACUCGGAACGGUCAAGUGAUACUGUCGGACUAGAGUACAGAAGGGGCAACUGGAAUUCUCGGUGUAGCGGUGAAAUGCGCAGAUAUCAGGAGGAACACCGGUGGCGAAGGCGGCUUGCUGGGCCAGUUCUGACGCUGGAGGAGCGAAAGCGUGGGGAGCGAACAGG
This 256-nucleotide ribosomal RNA is filed under the name uncultured bacterium. RNAcentral describes it as "partial 16S ribosomal RNA". It matches the Rfam family "Bacterial small subunit ribosomal RNA", at positions 524 to 776 of the family's 1533-position model. The record is from RNAcentral.